RNAcentral lists this ribosomal RNA (318 nucleotides) under Fusarium solani. RNAcentral describes it as "eukaryotic LSU rRNA". The stretch from base 1 to 84 matches the Rfam family "5.8S ribosomal RNA", at positions 68 to 154 of the family's 154-position model. Lineage: Eukaryota; Fungi; Ascomycota; Sordariomycetes; Hypocreales; Nectriaceae. The record is from RNAcentral.
UGAUUGCAGAUUCCGUGAUCAUCGAGUCUUUGAACGCACAUUGCGCCCCCUGGUAUUCCGGGGGGCAUGCCUGUCCGAGCGUCAUUGCUGCCCAUCAAGCACGGCUUGUGUGUUGGGUCGUCGUCCCCUCUCCGGGGGGGACGGGCCCCAAAGGCAGCGGCGGCACCGCGUCCGAUCCUCGAGCGUAUGGGGCUUUGUCACCCGCUCUGUAGGCCCGGCCGGCGCUUGCCGAACGCAAAUCAAUCUUUUCCAGGUUGACCUCGGAUCAGGUAGGGAUACCCGCUGAACUUAAGCAUAUCAAUAAGCGGAGGAAUCUUG